Molecule: ribosomal RNA, 1469 nt
Filed under: uncultured Bordetella sp.
Lineage: Bacteria; Pseudomonadati; Pseudomonadota; Betaproteobacteria; Burkholderiales; Alcaligenaceae
Description: partial 16S-23S ribosomal RNA intergenic spacer
Rfam family: Bacterial small subunit ribosomal RNA
Source: RNAcentral
CAGAGGUUCGAUCAUCGGCUCAGAUUGAACGUUGGCGGGAUGCUUUACAUGCAAGUCGAACAGCACGGACUUCGGUCUGGUGGCGAAGGUGGCGAACGGGUGAGUAAUGUAUCGGAACGUGCCUAAUGUGAGGGGAUAACUACGUGAAAGCGUAGCUAAUACCGCAUACGCCCUUCGGGGGAAAGCGGGGGACCUUCGGGCCUCGCACUAUUAGAGCAGCCGAUAUCGGAUUAGCUAGUUGGUGGGGUAACGGCUCACCAAGGCGACGAUCCGUAGCUGGUUUGAGAGGACGACCAGCCACACUGGGACUGAGACACGGCCCAGACUCCUACGGGAGAGCAGCAGUGGGGUACAUGGACAAUGGAAACCUGAUCCAGCCAUCCCGCGUGUGCGAUGAAGGCCUUCAGGUUGUAAAGCACUUUUGGCAGGAAAACGGCACGGGAUAAUACCCCGUGCAACUGACAAUGCCUGCAGAAUAAGCACCGGCUAACUACGUGCCAGCCGCGGUAAUACGUAGGGUGCAAGCGUUAAUCGGAAUUACUGGGCGUAAAGCGUGCGCAGGCGGUUCGGAAAGAAGAUGUGAAAUCCCAGAGCUUAACUUUGGAACUGCAUUUUUAACUACCGAGCUAGAGUGUGUCGGAGGAGGUGGAAUUCCCGCGAUGUGUAGCAGUGAAAUGCGUAGAUAUGCGGAGGAACACCGAUGGCGAAGGCAGCCUCCUGGGAUAACACUGACGCUCAUGCACGAAAGCGUGGGAGCAAACAAGUUAGAUACCUGGUAGUCCACGCCCUAAACGAUGUCAACUAGCUGUUGGGGCCUUCGGGCCUUGGUAGCGCAAUAACGCGUGAAAGUUGACCGCCUGGGGAGUACGGUCGCAAGAUUAAAACUCAAAGGAAUUGACGGGGACCCGCACAAGCGGUGGAUGAUGUGGAUUAAUUCGAUGCAACGCGAAAAACCUUACCUACCCUUGACAUGUCUGGAAUCCCGAAGAGAUUUGGGAGUGCUCGCAAGAGAACCGGAACACAGGUGCUGCAUGGCUGUCGUCAGCUCGUGUCGUGAGAUGUUGGGUUAAGUCCCACAACGAGCGCAACCCUUGUCAUUAGUUGCUACGAAGGGCACUCUAAUGAGACUGCCGGUGACAAACCGGAGGAAGGUGGGGAUGACGUCAAGUCCUCAUGGCCCUUAUGGGUAGGGCUUACACGUCAUACAAUGGUCAGGGACAGGGUCGCCAACCCGCGAGGGCCAAUCCCAGAAACCCGAUCGUAGUCCGGAUCGCAGUCUGCAACUCGACUGCGUGAGUCGGAAUCGCUAGUAAUCGCGGAUCAGCAUGUCGCGGUGAAUACGUUCCGGGUCUUGUACACACCGCCCGUCACACCAUGGGAGUGGGUUUUGCAGAAGUAGUUAGCCUAACCGUAAGGAGGGCGAUUACCACGGUAGGAUUGUGACUGGGGUGAAGUCGUAACAAAGGUAA